UAAAAACCCCGACUUCGGAAGGGGUGUAUUUAUUAGAUACAAAACCAAUGCCCUUCGGGGCUCUUUGGUGAUUCAUGAUAACUAUACGAAUCGCACGGCCUUGCGCCGGCGAUGGUUCAUUCAAAUUUCUUCCCUAUCAACUUUCGAUGUUUGGGUAUUGGCCAAACAUGGUUGCAACGGGUAACGGAGGGUUAGGGCUCGACCCCGGAGAAGGAGCCUGAGAAACGGCUACUACAUCCAAGGAAGGCAGCAGGCGCGCAAAUUACCCAAUCCCGACUCGGGGAGGUAGUGACAAUAAAUACUGAUACAGGGCCCUUUCGGGCCUUGUAAUUGGAAUGAGUACAAUUUAAAUCCCUUAACGAGGAACAAUUGGAGGGCAAGUCUGGUGCCAGCAGCCGCGGUAAUUCCAGCUCCAAUAGCGUAUAUUAAAGUUGUUGUGGUUAAAAAGCUCGUAGAGGAACCUUGGGCCUGGCUGGCCGGUCCGCCUCACCGCGUGCACUGGUCCGGCCGGGCCUUACACUAAAGUGGACGUGGUUAACAAGAUCGUAGUUGAACCUUGGGCAUGGCUGGUAGGUU
This 576-nucleotide ribosomal RNA is filed under the name uncultured eukaryote. RNAcentral's name for it is "bacterial SSU rRNA". It matches the Rfam family "Eukaryotic small subunit ribosomal RNA", at positions 174 to 753 of the family's 1831-position model. The record is from RNAcentral.